Molecule: ribosomal RNA, 802 nt
Filed under: Paracoccus denitrificans
Lineage: Bacteria; Pseudomonadati; Pseudomonadota; Alphaproteobacteria; Rhodobacterales; Paracoccaceae
Description: partial 16S ribosomal RNA
Rfam family: Bacterial small subunit ribosomal RNA
Source: RNAcentral
CGGNUGAGUAACGCGUGGGAAUAUGCCCUUUGNUACGGAAUAGUCCUGGGAAACUGGGGGUAAUACCGUAUGCGCCCUUCGGGGNAAAGAUUUAUCGCCAAAGGAUUAGCCCGCGUUGGAUUAGGUAGUUGGUGGGGUAAUGGCCUACCAAGCCGACGAUCCAUAGCUGGUUUGAGAGGAUGAUCAGCCACACUGGGACUGAGACACGGCCCAGACUCCUACGGGAGGCAGCAGUGGGGAAUCUUAGACAAUGGGGGCAACCCUGAUCUAGCCAUGCCGCGUGAGUGAUGAAGGCCCUAGGGUUGUAAAGCUCUUUCAGCUGGGAAGAUAAUGACGGUACCAGCAGAAGAAGCCCCGGCUAACUCCGUGCCAGCAGCCGCGGUAAUACGGAGGGGGCUAGCGUUGUUCGGAAUUACUGGGCGUAAAGCGCACGUAGGCGGACCGGAAAGUUGGGGGUGAAAAUCCCGGGGCUCAACCCCGGAACUGCCUUCAAAACUAUCGGUCUGGAGUUCGAGAGAGGUGAGUGGAAUUCCGAGUGUAGAGGUGAAAUUCGUAGAUAUUCGGAGGAACACCAGUGGCGAAGGNGGCUCACUGGCUCGAUACUGACGCUGAGGUGCGAAAGCGUGGGGAGCAAACAGGGAUNAGAUACCCUGGGAGNCCACGCCGUAAACNAUGAAAUGCCAGUCGUCGGGCCAGCAUGCUNNUNCGGGGNANCCCCCUNANGGNAUNAGGCNUUCCCNCCUGGGGGNAUCCGGUCNCNAGANUUAAAACUCNAANGGANUUGACGGGGGCCCCGCCCNAA